This 981-nucleotide long non-coding RNA is filed under the name Dasypus novemcinctus (nine-banded armadillo). RNAcentral describes it as "lncRNA (ENSDNOG00000051809.1)". Lineage: Eukaryota; Metazoa; Chordata; Mammalia; Cingulata; Dasypodidae. The record is from RNAcentral.
CCCUGGCUCGGUAACGUGCUGGCUUAACAACCGCCGUGCUUCCUGCACCCCAAAUUUGGGCCCCUUAAAUAGAGUGCAAGAAGCCAGAUGCGGGCCUGAGGAAGGUGUCUGAGGCUCCUGGAUUUGGGGGAGGUUGAAAAGGAGAAAGAGGAAAGUGGGGAAGGGACGUAGGGCGCAUAAAGAGAAAAUCCGGAAGACCAAGAUCGCACCCGGUGUCUGACAAGAGGGUCAUGGCCCCGUACAGAAGGCUGGAAAAACCGGGACUGUGGGAAGGGGCCUUAUCCAAGUGAGAAGCACAGAGACCUCAACUGAAAACCAUCGGAGCAGGCGAGCAGUGACUCACGCUCCCCUUCCCAGUGGUGUGGGUCAGAUCGUGGACGUCGGGGCUGCUCCUGCGCCCUGCCCACCUCCUCACACUGCCCCUUCACCUAAGGACCCAUGGACUUGACCUGGGCUUCUGAGAGGGCGUAUGUCUCUGGAGACGUAAGAGUCUGGCAAUAUGAAAGGCAAUAGGCUACAUAUUUACAAGAGCUUCAGAGGAAGCAGAAAGAAUACGCUCUCUGAGUCUAAGGGGUCUGUACUUGCUUGUAUAUAGCCACCCUCUCCAACCCUGAUGCUCUGUCGCGCUCACAAAGAACUCAUCUCUACUGGAAAAAAAGAAAGGACUAAAAAUCCAACAAAAUUAAAAUCUUCUAAUAAAGCAGAAGCAGCUCACUGUUGCUGGUAUUGCUGGUUCUUUUGAAGAAUGUAGUAGAAAUUUGUGCCACUUUCUCCAGGACCAUUGUGCCAGUGUGCAAGAGUGUGUUUUUCAUAAACAGAGAAAUAUUACUAACUGCAAAGAGAAGAAACUGUUCCAGGGUGUACAAAUCCCACACCAGCAUCCAAAAUAAUGGCAAAUACUGUUCUGUUCUUAGCGACCCUAAGUAACCUUUGUGCCAUUUAUUUAUUGAACAUAUUUUUCUUGAGCAGCUGUUAUGGGCC